Molecule: long non-coding RNA, 309 nt
Organism: Dicentrarchus labrax (European seabass)
Lineage: Eukaryota; Metazoa; Chordata; Actinopteri; Moronidae
Exons: 4
Source: RefSeq, a predicted model, not a curated record
CGUCAAUGGAACAUCUCGCUACUUGAGGGCACAAGAUUGUGACAUUGUUUAAAAGAGUACAAUGAGUCUGUGUAGAUGCUUUGGAUUCUUGCUGUUUGUCCUCCACUGCCUCCCAGGCACCACAGGUCAUUCUGUGGUGGUUAAUAUAUCUCAGCCAAUAGUGGCAAUAGUAGGUGAAGACACCAUCCUUCCCUGCCACCUGGAAUCUGCCGUAGAUCCUGCCUCGACGACUCUAGAGUGGUCCAGACCUGACCAGGGACACAGAUUUGUCCAUGUGAGGCAUGAAGGCGAGGACGCACUGACUGAUCA